Etheostoma cragini (Arkansas darter) is the source of this 129-nucleotide long non-coding RNA. RefSeq lists it as uncharacterized. The transcript is spliced from 3 exons. NCBI's taxonomy places the organism in Eukaryota, Metazoa, Chordata, Actinopteri, Perciformes, Percidae. The record is from RefSeq and is a predicted model, not a curated record.
AUGACAAAAAUAUAAUGCAAAAUGUGUUCUUGCAUGUCAUUGGGAAUUUUUACGUGGGUAUAUGGAAAUCUUGGAUCUUACUUAGUGGGUAUACUGCAUACACCUGCGGAUCACGUAGACUACACCACU